AGCUUUGCGCAGUGGCAGUAUCGUAGCCAAUGAGGUUUAUCCGAGGCGCGAUUAUUGCUAAUUGAAAACUUUUCCCAAUACCCCCAUGACGACUUGAAAUAUAGUCGGCAUUGGCAAUUUUUGACAGUCUCUACGGAGA
This 139-nucleotide small nuclear RNA is filed under the name Ailuropoda melanoleuca (giant panda). Its description in RNAcentral is "U4 spliceosomal RNA (ENSAMEG00000030352.1)". It matches the Rfam family "U4 spliceosomal RNA". Rfam says of the family: U4 small nuclear RNA (U4 snRNA) is a component of the major U2-dependent spliceosome. The structure of U4 snRNA from yeast and human has been reported. The record is from Rfam by way of RNAcentral. Lineage: Eukaryota; Metazoa; Chordata; Mammalia; Carnivora; Ursidae.